This 306-nucleotide ribosomal RNA is filed under the name uncultured bacterium. RNAcentral's name for it is "bacterial SSU rRNA". It matches the Rfam family "Bacterial small subunit ribosomal RNA", at positions 29 to 317 of the family's 1533-position model. The record is from RNAcentral.
AGCGAACGCUGGCGGCGUACUUAACACAUGCAAGUCGAACGAGGAUCAGUCGGGUUAGCAAUAAUUCGGUGGUCCUAGUGGCGCACGGGUGAGUAACACGUGGGUGACCUGCCCUUGAGCUCGGGAUACCCCCUCGAAAGGGGGCUAAUACCGGAUACGUUCCUCGGUCGAAAGACUGGAGGAGGAAAGGUGGCGCAAGCUGCCGCUCUUGGAGGGGCUCGCGGCCUAUCAGCUAGUUGGCGGGGUAACGGCCCACCAAGGCUAUGACGGGUAGCUGGUCUGAGAGGACGGACCAGCCACACGGGG